UAAGGGCAUGCAGGUGGAUACCUUGGUUCCACAGGCGAUGAAGGACGUGCAAAGCUGCGAAAAGCUUCGGGGAGCUGCUAAGAAGCGAUGAUCCGGAGGUAUCCGAAUGGGGAAACCCCCACGCCGUCAUGGGCGUGGACACUGAGAUGAAUUCAAUAGUCUCAAGUGGGCUCACCCGGUGAACUGAAACAUCUAAGUAGCCGGAGGAAAAGACAUCAACCGAGAUUCCCGUAGUAGUGGCGAGCGAAAUGGGAACAGCCUAAACCGUUCAUGUGCAAGCGUUCGGGCGUUGCAUGAGCGGGGUUGUACGACUGCCGUCUCAGAGCCGAAUCUCUGGGCACGAGUUACAAAAUCGAUCGAUAAUAGAAGCCGGCUGGAAAGCCGCACCAUAGAAGGUGAUAGUCCUGUAGAUGAAAUCGUUCGAUCUCGUGGAGCAGUUCGUGAGUAGGGCGGGGCACGAGAAACCCUGUCUGAAACUGGGAGGACCAUCUUCCAAGGCUAAAUAUUCUGUGGAAACCGAUAGCGUACUAGUACCGUGAGGGAAAGGUGAAAAGAACCCCCAAAGGGGAGUGAAAUAGAACAUGAAACCGCAUGCCUACAAACCGUGAAAGGCCCAUGCGCAAGCAAGGCUGAUCGCGUGCCUAUUGAAGAAUGAACCUGCGAGUUACUUGUAACGGGCUUGGUUAAGGCGUUGAGCCGGAGCCGUAGCGAAAGCGAGUCUGAAUAGGGCGUUCGUCCGUUGCAGUAGACCCGAAACCGAGUGAUCUAUCCAUGGCCAGGGUGAAGCAUGAUUAAACUCAUGUGGAGGCCCGAACCUGUUGUUGUUGAAAAAACAUUGGAUGAGCUGUGGAUAGGGGUGAAAAGCCAAUCGAACUCGGAGAUAGCUGGUUCUCCCCGAAAUAGUUUUAGGACUAGCGUCGCGCGUUAACCCACGGGGGUAGAGCACUGACAGGGCUAGGGGUCUUACCAGAUUACCGAACCCCAUCAAACUCCGAAUACCGUGGCGGACUGCGCGGCAGUCAGACUGUGGGGGAUAAGCUCCAUGGUCAAAAGGGAAACAGCCCAGAUCAACAGCUAAGGUCCCUAAUCGAUGCUCAGUGGUAAAGGAAGUCUCGUCGCAUAGACAGCUAGGAGGUUGGCUUAGAAGCAGCCACCCUUGAAAGAGUGCGUAAUAGCUCACUAGUCGAGUGAUGGGGCGCCGAAAAUUCAACGGGGCUCAAGCAUCGAACCGAAGCUUUGGGAUUAAUGAAUAACUAAUCGGUAGGGGAGCGUUGUGGCGUAGGCUGAAGCACGACCGUAAGGACGUGUGGACGAACCACAAGUGCGAAUGCAGGUAUAAGUAGCGAGAAAAGAGAGUGAGAACCUCUCUCGCCGGAAGUCUAAGGUUUCCUGAGCAACGUCAAUCGUCUCAGGGUGAGUCGGGAGCUAAGCCGAGGCUGAGAAGCGUAGGCGAUGCACAAGCAGUUCAUAUUCUGCUACCACCGACGACCGUUUAGACUUUGCCGGACAGUGUUGUUCGCGAGACGUCGCGCUUUGUGAGGGCUUGCCCUCGCGAAGUAUUUUUGAUCGAGCGCUAGGAGCCGGCGAGGGAGCGAUCUACAGAUCGUGACCGAGUCCGCGACGACGCGAUCGACAAAAAGACGAGCAGCGUGCAAUACCGCCUGUCAAAGUCUAUGAAUUGAAGGGGUGACGCAGGAGGAUAGGUCAGCGCGCUGAUGGAUGUGCGCGUUCAAGCAGGUAGGCGGUGUUGUAGGAAAAUCCGCAACACUAACGCCGAGAGGCGAAUACGAGGCUCUUCGGAGCCGAAGUGACUGACUCCACGCUGCCAAGAAAAGCCUCUAAAUAGGAUCGUAGGUGCCCGUACCGUACACCGACACAGGUAGACUGGCAGAGCAUGCUAAGGCGACGGGAGAAUCCCUGUUAAGGAACUCGGCAAAUUGACCCCGUAACCUAGGGAGAAGGGGUGCCUUCUUCGGUCUAGACUUUACGUCGAAAGCUGAGGGAGGUCGCAGAAAAUAGGCCCAAGCGACUGUUUAACAAAAACACAGGUCUCUGCGAAUGCGAAAGCAGACGUAUAGGGGCUGACUCCUGCCCGGUGCUGGAAGGUUAAAGGGACGGGUUAGCGCAAGCGAAGCUCGGAACUGAAGCCCCAGUAAACGGCGGCGGUAACUAUAACCGUCCUAAGGUAGCGAAAUUCCUUGUCGGGUAAGUUCCGACCUGCACGAAUGGAGUAACGACUUGGGCACUGUCUCAAUGGGGAUCCCGGCGAAAUUGCAGUACCAGUGAAGAUGCUGGUUACCCGCAGCAGGACGGAAAGACCCCGUGAAGCUUUACUGUAUCCUGAUCUUGGGUUUUGAGAUUGUCUGUACAGGAUAGGUGGGAGCCGUUGAUCCGAAGGCGCUAGUUUUCGGGGAGGCAACGUUGGGAUACCACCCUGAUGAUCUUGGGAUUCUAACUAGCUACCGUAAUCCGGUAGUAGGACAUGGUCAGGUGGGCAGUUUGACUGGGGCGGUCGCCUCCCAAAGAGUAACGGAGGCGCCCAAAGGUUCCCUCAGAACGGUCAGAAACCGUUCUCACAGAGUGCAUAGGCAUAAGGGAGCUUGACUGCGAGACGAACAUGUCGAGCAGGUGCGAAAGCAGGGCUAAGUGAUCCGGCGGUACCGAAUGGAAGGGCCGUCGCUUAUCGGAUAAAAGCUACUCCGGGGAUAACAGGCUUAUCUCCCCCAAGAGCUCACAUCGACGGGGAGGUUUGGCACCUCGAUGUCGGAUCGUCGCAUCCUGGGGCUGUAGUUGGUCCCAAGGGUUGGGCUGUUCGCCCAUUAAAGCGGUACGCGAUCUGGGUUCAGAACGUCGUGAGACAGUUCGGUCCCUAUCCGCUGUGGGCGUAGGAGAUUUGAGGAGUGUGGACCCUAGUACGAGAGGACCGGGUCGAACGAACCGCUGGUGAACCGGUUGUCCCGCCAGGGGCAUAGCCGGGUAGCUAUGUUCGGAUCAGAUAAGCGCUGAAAGCAUAUAAGCGCGAAACUGACUUCAAGAUGAGAUCUCAAUCUCGAAAGAGUGAAGAGUCGUGGUAGACCACCACGUUGAUAGGCCGGGGGUGGAAGCACUGCAAGGUGUGGAGCUGACCGGUACUAAUCGCUCGGAAAUUUUUAGA
This is a ribosomal RNA of 3154 nucleotides. It matches the Rfam family "Bacterial large subunit ribosomal RNA".